This 769-nucleotide small RNA is filed under the name Spisula solidissima (Atlantic surf clam). RNAcentral's name for it is "cnRNA103". Lineage: Eukaryota; Metazoa; Mollusca; Bivalvia; Venerida; Mactridae. The record is from RNAcentral.
AUCACACUAACACAGUAUAAUACAUGACAGAACAGGACAGAGUAGAGCAGUACAGAGCAGAGUUCAACACAUACACAGUAUAAUACAUGAAAGUMCAGGGCCGAGUAGAGCAGUACAGAGCAGAGUUCAACACACUUACACAGUAUAAAACAUGACCGGACAGGGCAGAGUAGAGCAGUACAGAGCAGAGUUCAACACAUACACAGUAUAAUACAUGAWAGUACAGGGCCGAGUAGAGCAGUACAGAGCAGAGUUCAACACACUUACACAGUAUAAAACAUGACAGAAUGGGGCAGAGUAGAGCAGUACAGAGCAGAGUUCAACACACUAACACAGAGCAAUACAUGACAGAACAGGACAGAGUAGAGCAGUACAGAGCAGAGUUCAUCACACUAACACAGUAUAAUACAUGACAGAACAUGGCAGAGUAGAGCAGUACAGAGCAGAGUUCAACACACUAACACAGAGCAAUACAUGACAGAACAGGACAGAGUAGAGCAGUACAGAGCAGAGUUUAACACACUAACACAGUAUAAUACAUGACAGAACAGGACAGAGUAGAGCAGUACAGAGCAGAGUUCAACACAUACACAGUAUAAUACAUGACAGAWCAGGACAGAGUAGAGCAGUACAGAGCAGAGUUCWACACACUAACACAGWGCAAUACAUGWCAGAWCAGGACAGAGUAGAGCAGUACAGAGCAGAGUUCAUCACACUAACACAGUANUAWUACAUGWCAGAACAUGGCAGAGUAGAGCAGUACAGAGCA